Molecule: long non-coding RNA, 825 nt
Filed under: Malus domestica (apple)
Lineage: Eukaryota; Viridiplantae; Streptophyta; Magnoliopsida; Rosales; Rosaceae
Description: long non-coding RNA (MDOM_LNC006263)
Source: RNAcentral
AGCAACACAGAAGAAGUCGGUGGCUAGAUAAGCGAAAAGAUGAAGAGUCGCAACGCAAGAAGGCUUAGGAUUUUUUAUUGGGAAAGUAGAGGUUAAAGGGUGAGAUGAUUGGAUAAAUGACUAGGAAAAAAAAAAUAUAAAGUGCAUAUAUAAUGAUAAUAAUACCUAAUUAUAUAUAAAUGAAUAAAUAAAUGAUAUAAUAUUAAUAGUAGUGGUACGGUACGGUAUACCCUAGUGCUUCUAUAAAUUGAUAUUUAAAGCUCUUUUUAUUCAUCAUAUUAGUUUUGGGAAAAUUUACUAUUUGUUUUUAAUUAAAAUUCGUUUUUAAUAUUACCCAAAUUCAAAAUCUAUUUUCUCAAUUUUUAGUUUUAAGUAAUUAAUUAGAAAUUGUUUCUACAUAAAUUAUCCAAAUAGUCAUCGAGGAGAACGAUCUUGCAUGAGCAUUUAUACUACAAUAUCCUUAUACUCUAGCAAGUAUUUUGUGUGAUUGUAUCUUUUUUUCGUAAGUGAGAAAAAUUCUAUCAUCGUUCUCCACAAAAAGUGAAUGAAUAGUUUAUGUAAAAUCAAAUUUUAGUUAAUUACUUGAAACAAAAUUUAGAAAAUGUUGAUUUUAAGACCUAAAAUAAGAAAAACGAAUUUAAUUAAAAAUAUCAGAAAAAUAAGCAAAAGUAAAAGAAACCAAAAUAAAACGAUUUGGAAAAUCAAUUUGCAAGAGCAAUAAUUGAACACUGAAUUAUGGACCCAUUUUAUUGACAGAUGGUCCUACCGCUUUUGGGUACAUAGCAAUUUUAGCAUUUAGUUCAUAAACCCCACCAUCGCACACCA